Tupaia belangeri chinensis (Chinese tree shrew) is the source of this 852-nucleotide long non-coding RNA. RefSeq lists it as uncharacterized. Lineage: Eukaryota; Metazoa; Chordata; Mammalia; Scandentia; Tupaiidae. The record is from RefSeq and is a predicted model, not a curated record. The transcript is spliced from 2 exons.
UUGGGGGACCGCCGCGCCGAGGACGAGGCCAGGGAGACCCAUGACGGGCCUGACCCCGGGGGCGCGGGGAGCCGAAGGCCCGCCAAGCCCUAGGCCCCAGCGGGGGGCAGCGGACACCGUGUUCCUCGGGGAGGACACACCGGGGACAGCGAGGACAGCGAGGCCUGAGCGCACGGACACGCCAGAGCUGGGCCCGGCCCGCAGAAGGGCCCCGCAGCUCCCGACCCGGACCCUGCGCAAUUGCACCAGGCAGGACUCGCAGAAGUCCUGGGCAGUUCUAACUGUACCCGACUCUCAGAAAUAGGGUGUCCGCUGUGUUUUCCAAGGAGGGGGCAAGAUUGAUUUCCCCCAACCUGGUAGAAAUACGAAUUCACACAAGAGACCCAAAUCUUUCCUGAAAUAAAAGGGCACGACUUCCAAGCUCUGGGCGCUCGCUGGCAAGGAUUUCCGGAGGGCCUGCCACAAACUCGCUUUGAGGCGCCAGCUGCCUAGCGCUAAUGUUCAGGCCUACCUACCUAACAGUCCAGGAAGCCCACUAUAUACCCGCAUAAUUCUGGAGCAGCCUUAUCAUAGAAGUUACCCACUCAGAAAUACGUCAAAGUGUGUAUAACCAUGUAAGGGAGACGAAGGAACUAAAGCAAAUAUAAGGCAGAGCCCCCAAGAAAUUCGGGGUUCAGCCUUUGGAUGCAAAUGCACUGAGCCAGCGCGGGUACAAGUAAGUUGCUGUGUUCCUACAAAAGCCUCCUUGUCCUGUCUCUCUCGGGUUGAAGAUCCUGCAAUAGUAGAUUCCAAUAUUAAAUACCAAGUCAGUCAAACUUCUAACGUAAUAAAAGAAAUAUAUGUGAACUCGAA